CGCGGCCAGGAAGACGACGUCGUACUUGCCGAGCUCGUCGGUCAGGUUGGCGACGUCGACGGUGUGGAAGGUCAUCCGCUUGCGCAGGUCCUCGUCCGCGCGGACCAGCUUCCGCGCACGGUCGUUGGCAGCGCCGCUCCGAUCAUAGUUGUCGAACACCGUGUUGGGCAGGUGGCGUGCCGCGAGCACGAGCGAGCUGAACGGCAAGGGGCCAGACCCGACGAAGGCGACGCGGGAAGGCGCGAGGCCAGGGAUGUAGCGGACCAGGAGGUCGUACUCCAGCUUGCUCAGGUUGAUGUAGUUGCUGAAGUAGGGGAAGCGGCUGAGGUGGUCGAGUGGGUUGUCGAAGGCGUUGAGCAUGUCGGAGUAGUGCGCCUCGAGGUGGCCCUCGGCGUCGGAGCAGAGGCGGAUGAGCUCCUCUCUCAUCUUCUGCGCGUCCGGGGCAAGCUUGGUCACGUCGACGGGGCUCGGCGGGACGCAGGCCAUGACGAGCUCGGUGAACAGCCUGUCGACGUCGGGGGACGGGCUCAGCGAUGGCAACUUGGUGAUGGCGGCGUGGAGGCUGGUAAUCUUCUGGACGAGAGCAGCAACCUCCAUGUUCGCAUUGGCGUCGAUCUUGCGCGCGACGAUCACAGAGUUGAUCACCUCAUCGUCCGGGUGGUACACGGUCAGCACGUCGAACCCGCCGCGGCGGAUGUCCUCGGGAUCGACGAUGGGGUACAGGAAUCCACGAGCCCCGUGCGCGCUCCGCACGACGAGGGCCGCGCCAUCGGCCAUGUGCCUGCCGAGGUGCGCCACCACCUUGGCCUUGUCCUCGGCGGCCAUGCCGACGAGCGCGGCCAGGAAGACGACGUCGUACUUGCCGAGCUCGUCGGUCAGGUUGGCGACGUCGACCGUGUGGAAGGCCAUCCGCUUGCGCAGGUCCUCGUCCGCGCGGACCAGCUUCCGCGCACGGUCGUUGGCAGCGCCGCUCCGAUCAUAGUUGUCGAACACCGUGUUGGGCAGGUGGCGCGCCGCGAGCACGAGCGAGCUGAACGGCAAGGGGCCGGACCC
RNAcentral lists this long non-coding RNA (1053 nucleotides) under Setaria italica (foxtail millet). Its description in RNAcentral is "long non-coding RNA (SITA_LNC007230)". Lineage: Eukaryota; Viridiplantae; Streptophyta; Magnoliopsida; Poales; Poaceae. The record is from RNAcentral.